Molecule: ribosomal RNA, 487 nt
Filed under: uncultured bacterium
Lineage: Bacteria
Description: bacterial SSU rRNA
Rfam family: Bacterial small subunit ribosomal RNA
Source: RNAcentral
ACUCAAAUGAAUUGACGGGGGCCCGCACAAGCAGCGGAGCGUGUGGUUUAAUUCGAUGAUACGCGAAGAACCUCACCCAGGUUUGACAUGCAUGUGGUACCGAUCCGAAAGGUGAAGGACCCCUCGGGGAGCAUGCACAGGUGUUGCACGGCCGUCGUCAGCUCGUGCCGUGAGGUGUUGGGUUAAGUCCCGCAACGAGCGCAACCCCUAUCGCCAGUUGUAUUUUUCUGGCGAGACUGCCGAGAAAUCCUCGGAGGAAGGAGGGGACGAUGUCAGGUCAGCGUGGCCCUUACGCCUGGGGCUACACACACGCUACAAUGGGUGGUACAACGGGUCGCCAAGCCGCGAGGCGGAGCUAAUCCCAUCAAAGCCAUCCUCAGUUCGGAUUGCAGGCUGAAACCCGCCUGCAUGAAGCCGGAGUUGCUAGUAACCGCAGGUCAGCAUUACUGCGGUGAAUACGUUCCCGGGCCUUGCACACACCGCCCGU